GGCCUCGUAGCUCAGCUGGUAGAGCGUGUGGUGUGCAAAAAGCGUAGGCGGCGUCCAUGUGUGGAUUCGAAUCCCAUCGAGGCUA
Molecule: transfer RNA, 85 nt
Filed under: Echinostoma caproni
Lineage: Eukaryota; Metazoa; Platyhelminthes; Trematoda; Plagiorchiida; Echinostomatidae
Rfam family: tRNA
About the family: Transfer RNA (tRNA) molecules are approximately 80 nucleotides in length. Their secondary structure includes four short double-helical elements and three loops (D, anti-codon, and T loops).
Source: Rfam by way of RNAcentral